This 326-nucleotide ribosomal RNA is filed under the name uncultured bacterium. RNAcentral's name for it is "bacterial SSU rRNA". It matches the Rfam family "Bacterial small subunit ribosomal RNA", at positions 28 to 334 of the family's 1533-position model. The record is from RNAcentral.
GAUGAACGCUGGCGGCGUGCCUAACACAUGCAAGUCGAACGGAGUCAGUUUUGGAAAGCUCUUCGGAACUGGAAUCUAUGACUUAGUGGCGGACGGGUGAGUAACGCGUGAGCAAUCUGCCUUUCAGAGGGGGAUAACAGCCGGAAACGGCUGCUAAUACCGCAUAAUGCAUUGGAUUCGCAUGUUUCUGGGGGAAAAGGAGCAAUUCGCUCUGGGAUGGACUCGCGUCCGAUUAGCUGGAUGGUGAGGUAACGGCCCACCAUGGCGACGAUCGGUAGCCGGACUGAGAGGUUGAUCGGCCACAUUGGGACUGAGACACGGCCCAG